This 141-nucleotide microRNA precursor is filed under the name Procavia capensis (Cape rock hyrax). RNAcentral describes it as "miRNA (ENSPCAG00000019038.1)". Lineage: Eukaryota; Metazoa; Chordata; Mammalia; Hyracoidea; Procaviidae. The record is from RNAcentral.
GAUGUCCAGUAGAAUUUGGAUUUCAGAUAAACAACUAAUACAAUUUUUGAAGUAUAUCUCAUGCAAGAUUCGGGACAUACUUAUGCUAAAAAAAUUAGUUGUUUAUUUGAGAUGCAAACUCAGCUGGGUGUCUUGCAUUUU